Dreissena polymorpha is the source of this 386-nucleotide long non-coding RNA. RefSeq lists it as uncharacterized. Lineage: Eukaryota; Metazoa; Mollusca; Bivalvia; Myida; Dreissenidae. The record is from RefSeq and is a predicted model, not a curated record. The transcript has 2 exons.
ACCAGGUUUUCCGAAGGAAAAAACUGGUUAUUAGAUUGGCGAAUGCGGGCGGGCUGGCUGGCGGGCGGGCGGAACAAGCUUGUCCGGGCCAUAACUAUGUCGUUCAUUAUCAGAUUUUAAAAUCAUUUGGCACAUUUGUUCACCAUCAUUGGACAGUGUGUCGCGUGAAAUAAUUACGUCGAUAUCUCCAAGGUCAAGGUCACACUUUGAGUUCAAAGGUCAAAAAUGGCCAUAAAUGAGCUUGUCCUGGCCAUAACUAUGUCAUUCAUUGUGAGAUUUUAAAAUCAUUUGGCACAUUUGUUCACCAUCAUGGGACGGUGUGUCGCACGAAAGAAUCACGUCAAUAUCUCCAAUGUCAAGGUCGCCACGACUAAAAAUAUAUAUUU